RNAcentral lists this transfer RNA (70 nucleotides) under Paratomella rubra. Its description in RNAcentral is "tRNA-Ser". The record is from RNAcentral. Lineage: Eukaryota; Metazoa; Xenacoelomorpha; Acoela; Paratomellidae.
UAAGAAGUAGUAUAAUAGAGUUAUUAUUUUUGAUUUGAGAUCUUAGGAUAUUAUGUAAUAAUCUUCUUUU